This 391-nucleotide ribosomal RNA is filed under the name uncultured bacterium. Its description in RNAcentral is "bacterial SSU rRNA". It matches the Rfam family "Bacterial small subunit ribosomal RNA", at positions 28 to 414 of the family's 1533-position model. The record is from RNAcentral.
GAUGAACGCUAGCGGCAGGCUUAAUACAUGCAAGUCGAGGGGUAACAUGGGGUAGCAAUACUCUGAUGACGACCGGCAAACGGGUGCGGAACACGUACGCAACUUUCCCAAAACUGGUGAAUAGCCCUCCGAAAGGAGGAUUAAUACACCGUAACAUAUAGAGGUGGCAUCGCCUUUAUAUUAUAGCUCCGGCGGUUUUGGAUGGGCGUGCGCCUGAUUAGGUAGUUGGUGUGGUAACGGCUCACCAAGCCUACGAUCAGUAACUGGUGUGAGAGGAUGAUCAGCCACACUGGAACUGAGACACGGUCCAGACUCCUACGGGAGGCAGCAGUGGGGAAUUUUGGACAAUGGGCGCAAGCCUGAUCCAGCAAUGCCGCGUGCAGGAAGAAGG